RNAcentral lists this ribosomal RNA (221 nucleotides) under uncultured bacterium. RNAcentral describes it as "partial 16S ribosomal RNA". It matches the Rfam family "Bacterial small subunit ribosomal RNA", at positions 116 to 334 of the family's 1533-position model. The record is from RNAcentral.
CGUGAGGAACCUGCCUUGGAGAGGGGGAAAUAAACACUCCAAAGGAGUGCUAAUACCGCAUGAUGCAGUUGGGUCGCAUGGCUCUGACUGCCAAAGAUUUAUCGCUCUGAGAUGGCCUCGCGUCUGAUUAGCUAGUAGGCGGGGUAACGGCCCACCUAGGCGACGAUCAGUAGCCGGACUGAGAGGUUGACCGGCCACAUUGGGACUGAGACACGGCCCAG